Molecule: transfer RNA, 66 nt
Filed under: Myospalax aspalax (false zokor)
Lineage: Eukaryota; Metazoa; Chordata; Mammalia; Rodentia; Spalacidae
Description: tRNA-Pro
Source: RNAcentral
CAAGGAAUAGUUUAAUAAGAAUGCCAGCUUUGGGGGUUGGUGGUGGAGUUUUAUUUUCUUCCUUGA